GCGCCGGGGGUCUGGCACGCAAGCCCUCGCGGGCCGUGACUCGAAGAAGCCCGGCACAGACAGAGUCGCGGGAGGAGCAGUUAGGCGGCACCCCAGGAGCGCCCCUGAGGUGGGAGGUGGCAAAACUGAAGGAACUGCGAGCUAGUAAUCCGGAGGAUUGAACGUAAAGCUGGGGGUUUCCGUAAAGCUGCUCUGAGCAGGCACCGUCUCGAGAACAGCCUUUAUUCUUGAGACGGGUGUAAAACUUGUCAGCGGUUCUAUUACAGAGUAAAAAAUAAUACUUGGAAGGAUAAAGAUAAAAAUUGCAGAAAUCGUUUGAAAAGAAAUAGUUCAUUGUGCGGGCUCGUCCUCCACACCGAGUCCAUCUAUGCAUCACCUCUGAAAGUAAUAACAAUGUAACGUUGAUGAUGAUAACGAUGUAUUCUUCUUUCAAAUAUGUGGGUAAUAUUUUCAUGAAGCAUUGCCAACAAAGUGACUUAGGGAAGAGGUACUAUAUAUUAACUCUACAAUCAGACUGGGUUCCAUUCUACUCCCAAGAAUUCUGUCAUAAUGGAGCUGAUGAUGGCUGUGUCCAGCAGUUUGACAGUAACGUGAUUGUUCUACACGGCAACAAAAGAACCUGCGUCAACCAAUGGUCACACAUAUCAGAAAAAAAGAAGCUUCUGUCACAGCAGAGGCUAAGAGCUCCCAAAUUAGAACUGUAUUUUCCAGCCGGAAGUUAGUCAUUUAAUCAAUGGUUACUGCAAUCUACCUAUCAACUUCAACACAAUCCCUGUAUUUGAAAAACUUAGUUUCCUGUUGAUACAGAAUGUAUACUAAUAACCAAUAUACAGUAGGCCAAAUACUGUAAUAAAAUAUCUGUAAGAUGCUGUGGAAUGCA
Molecule: long non-coding RNA, 880 nt
Filed under: Felis catus (domestic cat)
Lineage: Eukaryota; Metazoa; Chordata; Mammalia; Carnivora; Felidae
Description: lncRNA (ENSFCAG00000047758.1)
Source: RNAcentral